This is a non-coding RNA of Pelobates cultripes (western spadefoot toad), 227 nucleotides long. The record is from the annotation of a GenBank genome assembly. Lineage: Eukaryota; Metazoa; Chordata; Amphibia; Anura; Pelobatidae.
GGGCGAAGGACUUUUGGGCCUACUGUUUGGCCAGGAUUCUGGUCAUCAGGGCAGAAUACCUCCCCGGUCUCCACAAAAGUCAUGCGGAAUGGAGUUCACGCUAUCUGGUGGACAGCAGCGAUUGAAACUUGGAUGUUGAGGUGUUCUCCACGCUCUCGUUGCUCGGGUGAUCUUUUGCCAUCGAUCUCUUCACAACCCGGCUUACCACCCAAUUACUUCAGUUCUAC